This 301-nucleotide ribosomal RNA is filed under the name uncultured bacterium. Its description in RNAcentral is "partial 16S ribosomal RNA". It matches the Rfam family "Bacterial small subunit ribosomal RNA", at positions 509 to 807 of the family's 1533-position model. The record is from RNAcentral.
CAGUCGCCACGGUAAUACGAAGGGGGCUAGCGUUGUUCGGAAUUACUGGGCGUAAAGCGCACGUAGGCUGACAUUUAAGUCAGGGGUGAAAUCCCGGGGCUCAACCUCGGAACUGCCUUUGAUACUGGGUGUCUUGAGUGUGGAAGAGGUAAGUGGAAUUGCGAGUGUAGAGGUGAAAUUCGUAGAUAUUCGCAGGAACACCAGUGGCGAAGGCGGCUUACUGGUCCACAACUGACGCUGAGGUGCGAAAGCGUGGGGAGCAAACAGGAUUAGAUACCCCAGUAGUCCCUGUCUCUUAUAC